CACUGGGACUGACAGCUGAAACAAAAACAAAACUACGAAAAGUCUAGCACACGUGCAAUGUGACAACGGUCUCCCAGAGGAGCUGAAUCAGUCGUCUUAUAAAGAGACCCCUUUCUGAGACAUCUCUGGCUUCAGACGCCCCAGAUUGGCUCCAGGAAUAGAAAGAUUUUUCCCAUUUCUCUUGAAUCUACUAGACACCAGCAGGCUGGGGGCUGAGGGAAUGCAUUGUCAUCCUGAGGUGAGCACAUGUGCCUUCUGGAAGAAAAGAAAAGAAG
This is a long non-coding RNA of Tupaia belangeri chinensis (Chinese tree shrew), 275 nucleotides long. RefSeq lists it as uncharacterized. The transcript is spliced from 3 exons. The record is from RefSeq and is a predicted model, not a curated record. NCBI's taxonomy places the organism in Eukaryota, Metazoa, Chordata, Mammalia, Scandentia, Tupaiidae.